Sapajus apella (tufted capuchin) is the source of this 1571-nucleotide long non-coding RNA. RefSeq lists it as uncharacterized. NCBI's taxonomy places the organism in Eukaryota, Metazoa, Chordata, Mammalia, Primates, Cebidae. The transcript has 2 exons. The record is from RefSeq and is a predicted model, not a curated record.
ACAUGUCACCCAGCCUGGGCUUGAAUUUCUGGACUCAAGAAAUUCCCCCACCUUGGCCUCCCAAGGUGCUGGGAUUAUAGGCGUGAGCCACUGCAGCUGGCCAAAAGGCCACUUUAUUUAAGGGGAUAAAUAUCUGAAAAACAUGGCACAUGUAAUUUAAUUCAAAACUUAAUAAGUAUCUUAGGAUAGGUAAUUAGGUAUUUUAUUAAUGGUUACUAUCAAGCCAUAUGUUUAGUGUUAAUCAGAAAUAUUAUUUGAUUAAUAAAACUGGCUUAUCUGCCUUUUGUAGAAUAAUUUUUUACAACAUUUUAUAAGAUAACUAGAAAGACUUAGAAGAGAAUAUUGAACAUAAUUUGCAAAGAUAAAUGUUUCAGAGAGCCUGUAUGUUACUAUUUUUGGUUAUAAAUGAAAAAUGUUUGGUUAUAAGUGAGAAAUAUCUUGUGAAAUUCUGAUUUAAUAAAUAUUAGAGGAAAUUAUAUUUUAGAGAUAAUUCCCGUCAAAAAAAUGUUCAGCUUUUACUUCCAUACCUAAAAAAAUGACAUAAUAUCAGUGGGUUGAUUCAGUUUGCUUAUUUUAAGAUUGCUGUGAAUAAUCUGUUAAGACUUUAUAUUAUUUAUUAGCAGUCUACUUCAUUCUCAUUUCUUCACUGUUUCAUCAGAGGAGGGGGAGAUGGAGAAGAAAAAAUUUUAAUAGUUAUUGUUCCUUGAAUGCCAAGCAUCAAGCCAAAUGCCUCAGAGAGAUUAUCUAUAAUCCUCACAACACCUGAACCUAUGUAUUUUUUUAGUCAGGAAAUAGAGCCUCAGAGUGAAAGGAACUAGCCAAGGUCACCCAGCUGGCUUUGAACAAAGUUUGAACUUGACCUAAGUCUUGGAUUAGUUUGGACCCUUUUCCACUAUAUUAUCUCUCUGAUUUGAAAUGUUAGUAUUACAGUAUUUCAAUAUGAAAACUUUAUCCAUUUUCAUUUAAAUCACACCAGAAUAAAAUACAGUGACUUUCGCCUCCCCAGUAGAGCUUUCACAACGAAGUAAAUUGAUUUUUAAGCCAUUUUAGUGAAAAAUCUAACAAACUGUUAUGCUGAUUUAUUCUGAACUAUGAGUGAUUUAAAUUUUAACUUUCCAUAUGUUGGCAGGUGUCAUGUGUCUGUUUACUUUUUGGAGGCUCUUCUGACAGUAACUGUUACCAACCACUGAUGAUCCAGCCUGUACUCUCUUCUAGCUUCACUUGAAAAAAAACUCAAUCUAGUAGUAAAGGAAAUAGGAAAAGAUGAAGGUGUCUAGUGUUUUAUUUUCACAUAUCUAAAUGUUGCAUUUAGAAAUUAUGGCAAAAUAUAUUGUAUAUGUAUAUGAGGAGAGAGAUUUAAUCCUUUUUUAUAUUGUAUUACUGAUAUAAUUUGAUACUUGGUUGUCUUUUUAAAUUCUAAGACUUUUGGUGAAAAUGCAGGCUUAUCCUGCAUUUAUCAUUAAUGAACCUUCAGACACUUUAUAAUGAUGCAACUUUUGAUUUAAUUUGUCAUGUUUACUGACUAAAGAGUUCAGCCACAGCUGAAUUUUAAAAGUAUAUAGUUAAAUGAA